GGCAACGAUGAAGAGUGCUUAAAUUUCUGACACCUCUUGUAUGAGAAGGGCCUGUAAAAGGGCUCUUCCUUGAGCACAGUUAGCAACUCUCUGAGCC
Small nucleolar RNA from Prunus persica (peach), 97 nucleotides. It matches the Rfam family "Small nucleolar RNA snoR1". Rfam says of the family: snoR1 is a member of the C/D class of snoRNA which contain the C (UGAUGA) and D (CUGA) box motifs. The record is from Rfam. Lineage: Eukaryota; Viridiplantae; Streptophyta; Magnoliopsida; Rosales; Rosaceae.